GCCGAAGUGGCGGAAUUGGCAGACGCGCAUGGUUCAGGACCAUGUGCUCGUAAGAGCGUGGGGGUUCAACUCCCCCCUUCGGCACCA
Molecule: transfer RNA, 87 nt
Filed under: Candidatus Latescibacterota bacterium
Lineage: Bacteria; Pseudomonadati; Candidatus Latescibacterota
Also listed under: 1 other name
Description: tRNA-Leu
Rfam family: tRNA
About the family: Transfer RNA (tRNA) molecules are approximately 80 nucleotides in length. Their secondary structure includes four short double-helical elements and three loops (D, anti-codon, and T loops). Further hydrogen bonds mediate the characteristic L-shaped molecular structure. tRNAs have two regions of fundamental functional importance: the anti-codon, which is responsible for specific mRNA codon recognition, and the 3' end, to which the tRNAs corresponding amino acid is attached (by aminoacyl-tRNA synthetases). tRNAs cope with the degeneracy of the genetic code in two manners: having more than one tRNA (with a specific anti-codon) for a particular amino acid; and 'wobble' base-pairing, i.e. permitting non-standard base-pairing at the 3rd anti-codon position.
Source: RNAcentral